Apteryx owenii (little spotted kiwi) is the source of this 2454-nucleotide long non-coding RNA. The record is from Ensembl. NCBI's taxonomy places the organism in Eukaryota, Metazoa, Chordata, Aves, Apterygiformes, Apterygidae.
AGGUGGUCUAGAUGACUUAAGACUCGCAGGAACCUGCCAAAAAUAGAGGCUUGUAAGACUGGCCAGUGGAAGAGAAAAUAUGAGAUCACAGCGACAAGGCAGAGGAAGACAGGGAUUUGGCAAGCAGGUCUGUGGUUUUUGAAAAAGAAGAGGAGUCAAAGAGGAAGACUGACAGCGCAGAAAAGAGAAAGGGAAAUGUCCUGUGAGCAGAACUGAAGGAGGAGCAAGGAUGAUGCACUGAGACUUAUAAAAGGGAAGAGAAAGCAGAAUGAACAAGGACAGAGGACAGGGAUCUAAGGCUGAAAGCUGCUGGGAAAAGUCAAUUUAUUGCCCUUAACCUGUGAACGCUGCUAGAUGCACUGACUCUGGGCUGCGAGGACUGUAUCCAGCCAGCGAAUGUAGUCCAAGAAGGACAAGAGAUGUGAUUGUAAUGAGAGCCUGGUGAUCCUGCCCAGGGAUUGGGGUGGAGGAUCGAGGAGCGCGUCCAACCCCAGUGGAGCCAAGCACCCAGGACGGCCUGAUGGAUUUUCUCCCCUUCACGCGUUUUUGUUUCCUGCUGCUGACAGUUUCAUCUGCCUUUCUAACUACUGCUAUACCCAGUGGUGACCCUGCUGAGGGGACAAAAGGCUCUUCCUUUAGCAGCACAAAUGUGACAGUCUAUGACUGCAAGCGCUGUGGUAUCAGAGUAUGCGAGUUAUCCAAUUUCAGUUGCUGUGAUGUAAUCGGUGAAACACGAAACAAGAUGUUUUCAAAUGAAGUAAUUCAGCUGGUGGCCGAAGAAACACAUAUCACUGUGUGCUUUCAGCAAGAAGAUACUUCUCCAGAAGGAAUUUACACCAUCUUCUGGGUGAAAGCCGAGGGAAUGGGAUAUUCAUGUGGCAGCCUGGAGGCUAAAGAGAAUAGGAAGGACAUCAUCAUUACAGAGUGGAAAAAGACUUGCUGUACAGCAGACGUCCAGCCCGAAGUGCCCAACAGUUCCUUGAAUUGCUACAGUGAUCUGCCAGGCAAAAAGGGUUUCUUGUCAUCUUCGGUCAGCAAAGAAGGCAACUUUGACAUCACCACCGUGUUUGUGGCUCUUGUGGGCUGUGCUGUAGUACUGGACCACUCAUAGUGCAUAAUCACAUUUUUUAUAGGUGAUGAUACUGGUGAUGCAGUGGAUCCUGAAAUGGAAAACCUCAAUGUUAUUUAAAAACCAUAUGUAAAUGAGGAAAAAAAACCAAGCCUUUAUACCAGCAGCAUAUUCUUCAGUGAUGAAGUGCAGCCCUCAGCUGAAGAAAUAGACAUGAAUUUUAUACAAAAUCUCAGUAAUUUUUACAAAUAUACUUCUAGUGCUUUUGUGGACAGACUAUUUUCAGUGGUGCCCAGUGACAGGACAAGAGGCAACAGGCACAAACUGAAACACAGGAAGUUCCAUCUGAAUAUGAGGAAAAUCAUCUUUACUGUGAGGGUGACAGCACACUGGAACAGGUUGCCCAGAGAGGUUGUGGAGUCUCCUUCUCUGGAGAUAUUCAAAGCCCGCCUGGACACGAUCCUGUGCAACGUGCUCUAGGUGACCCUGUUUGAGCAGGGUGUUUGGACUAGAUGAUCUCCAGAGGUCCCUUCCAACUUCAACCAUUCUGUAAUUCUGUGAUUCCAUGCAUUCACUGAGGACUGUGGUUGUCGCAGUUACCUGAUUCCAGGCCUUCGUGAACAAUGCGAGAGCUCCUGACAGCUUCUGCGACUUCACUGAAAACUGCAGUCACUGCAAGAUGUGCAACUGGCUCAAUAGCACAGUUUUAAACCAGCUGAAUCCUUUCAAAGAUUUUUGCAGUUGAAACUAUCAGUCCAUCUGAAAUUCUUCAGAACAAUCUAUCUAUGUUCAAGAAGGGUGCGUUGAACCCUGAGGCAGAUGCUCUGUGCAUGUCUUCUAUAUCGUAACACAGUAGCACUGACAUAGUCUUAAACUUUUACUUGCCAGGUGGUCUUGAGAUUUACACAAGCAGACAGUUUGUACAGGCGACCGGGUUUGUUUAAAUCUUGCAGAGUAAACAUUUGCUACUGAUGGCAAUUGCUCUGUGCACUUGGUCCUGUGCAGGGGGGAUGGGAGGGUCAUAUCCAGCUCCCUCAGAAAUGGUUUUGGGUUGUGGGGCCUUUGGCCCCUCCCGGGCUGGACAAAUGUAUUCUGUCAAUCUUCCCGGCAAAUAAGAUCAUAAGGCUGGGAAUCUUCGUGUUGGACAUUUUCAAUAGUAACUCAAGCAAAUAGGAAAGGUAGGCACGUUGCUAUAUCUGCUCUAUUCCAGUGUCAGGAAAGAGCACAGUAUUUCUCCAUCUGAAGACAGGUUUGGGUAUACUGCAUGCAGACACUGACUGACAAAUCAAGUUCAGAGAUCCCCAUUUGGUAGUUCACAGGCAGUAUGUGAUCUUCAGAAGAUUUGUCAUUCAUGUUUGAUUUGAAUAAAUCCUCAAAUGCUUGCA